This 456-nucleotide long non-coding RNA is filed under the name Vigna radiata. RNAcentral's name for it is "long non-coding RNA (VRAD_LNC012569)". Lineage: Eukaryota; Viridiplantae; Streptophyta; Magnoliopsida; Fabales; Fabaceae. The record is from RNAcentral.
GAGGUGCUUAGAGAAAUGGUCUAGUAUGGCAUGCAACAAUAGCUUAGAUGUGGGCUGAAUUCAACUCAAGUGAUGCACGGCCUGCACGCGUGCUGGAGGAGGUAAUAGCAACGUUGAUUAUAGGUCAUCAUCCUCGUAAAAAAGGGGGCCCCAACAGUACGAGGAGAGGUCACGCAACCCUAGGAGAGGAGAUUCUGAGUCCAGCCGCCACCUUCAUGAGAGUUUUCUUAGAGCAUUUUUUUUAAUUUGUAGAAAUGGGUAGGAUGCUGAUACGGGAUUUUGGAUGAAACUGUAGAAGCAUUUUGCUUGUUCCAUAGGCUAACACACAACUAUUUACUUCUUGGAGAUUAACGAUUUCUUUCAAUUGGAAAAGAGCACCGUUGGCACGUCAUUGGGAGUUAAUUAAAAGUCUUUGGUUUUAUCUUCAUGAACCCGAAUUUCAGUUUUAUAUUCUAU